This 253-nucleotide ribosomal RNA is filed under the name uncultured bacterium. RNAcentral's name for it is "partial 16S ribosomal RNA". It matches the Rfam family "Bacterial small subunit ribosomal RNA", at positions 524 to 776 of the family's 1533-position model. The record is from RNAcentral.
UACGGAGGGUGCGAGCGUUAUCCGGAAUUACUGGGUUUAAAGGGUACGUAGGCGGCCAGAUAAGUCAGAGGUGAAAGGUCCCCGCUUAACGGGGGAAUUGCCUUUGAUACUGUUUGGCUUGAAUCAAGUGGAGGCAGGCGGAAUGCGUCAUGUAGCGGUGAAAUGCUUAGAUAUGACGUAGAACACCAAUUGCGAAGGCAGCUUGCCACAGUUGUAUUGACGCUGAGGUACGAAAGCGUGGGUAGCGAACAGG